This 361-nucleotide RNase P RNA is filed under the name Ostreibacterium oceani. RNAcentral describes it as "Bacterial RNase P class A". It matches the Rfam family "Bacterial RNase P class A". From Rfam's summary of the family: Ribonuclease P (RNase P) is a ubiquitous endoribonuclease, found in archaea, bacteria and eukarya as well as chloroplasts and mitochondria. Its best characterised activity is the generation of mature 5'-ends of tRNAs by cleaving the 5'-leader elements of precursor-tRNAs. Lineage: Bacteria; Pseudomonadati; Pseudomonadota; Gammaproteobacteria; Cardiobacteriales; Ostreibacteriaceae. The record is from Rfam by way of RNAcentral.
UGAGUCGGUCGGAUAGUCGCUGCAAAAGCAGAGGAAAGUCCGGACUCCAUCGGGUAGCGUGCCGGAUAACGUCCGGGCAGCGAGAGCUGACAGCCAGUGCAACAGAGAGCAGACCGCCAUGCCUAUGGCGUGGUAAGGGUGAAAGGGUGCGGUAAGAGCGCACCGCGUCAAUGGCAACAUUUGAUGGCAAGGUAAACCUCACGCGGAGCAAGACCAAAUAGGAAUGCAACAAGCUAGCUUUGCUACGCUUGACGCUGUGACCCACAGUGCAUUCGGGUAGGUCGCUAGAGUGUAUUGGCAACAAUACACCCAGAUAAAUGGCUAUCAACUACAGAAUCCGGCUUAUAGACCGACUCAUUUU